GACAGAGGAGCCAAGCGUUGUCCGGAUUUACUGGGCGUAAAGGGCGCGUAGGCGGCCAGCACAAGUCAGUUGUGAAAUCUCCGAGCUUAACUCGGAAAGGUCAACUGAUACUGUGCGGCUAGAGUGCGGAAGGGGCAACUGGAAUUCUUGGUGUAGCGGUGAAAUGCGUAGAUAUCAAGAGGAACACCUGCGGCGAAGGCGGGUUGCUGGGCCGACACUGACGCUGAGGCGCGAAAGCCAGGGGAGCGAACGGG
RNAcentral lists this ribosomal RNA (254 nucleotides) under uncultured bacterium. Its description in RNAcentral is "partial 16S ribosomal RNA". It matches the Rfam family "Bacterial small subunit ribosomal RNA", at positions 524 to 776 of the family's 1533-position model. The record is from RNAcentral.